GUAGGGUGCAAGCGUUAAUCGGAAUUACUGGGCGUAAAGCGUGCGCAGGCGGUUAUGCAAGACAGAUGUGAAAUCCCCGGGCUCAACCUGGGAACUGCAUUUGUGACUGCAUGACUAGAGUACGGCAGAGGGAGAUGGAAUUCCGCGUGUAGCAGUGAAAUGCGUAGAUAUGCGGAGGAACACCGAUGGCGAAGGCAAUCUCCUGGGCCUGUACUGACGCUCAUGCACGAAAGCGUGGGGAGCAAACAGGAUUAGAUACCCUGGUAGUCCACGCCCUAAACGAUGUCAACUGGUUGUUGGACGGCUUGCUGUUCAGUAACGAANCUAACGCGUGAAGUUGACCGCCUGGGGAGU
This 354-nucleotide ribosomal RNA is filed under the name uncultured bacterium. RNAcentral's name for it is "bacterial SSU rRNA". It matches the Rfam family "Bacterial small subunit ribosomal RNA", at positions 527 to 881 of the family's 1533-position model. The record is from RNAcentral.